Molecule: ribosomal RNA, 492 nt
Filed under: uncultured bacterium
Lineage: Bacteria
Description: partial 16S ribosomal RNA
Rfam family: Bacterial small subunit ribosomal RNA
Source: RNAcentral
AGUGAACGCUGGCGGUAGGCCUAACACAUGCCAGUCGAACGGCAGCACAGUAAGAGCUUGCUCUUACGGGUGGCGAGUGGCGGACGGGUGAGGAAUACAUCGGAAUCUACUUUUUCGUGGGGGAUAACGUAGGGAAACUUACGCUAAUACCGCAUACGACCUACGGGUGAAAGCAGGGGAUCUUCGGACCUUGCGCGAUUGAAUGAGCCGAUGUCGGAUUAGCUAGUUGGCGGGGUAAAGGCCCACCAAGGCGACGAUCCGUAGCUGGUCUGAGAGGAUGAUCAGCCACACUGGAACUGAGACAGGGUCCAGACGCCUACGGGAGGCAGCAGUGGGGAAUAUUGGACAAUGGGCGCAAGCCUGAUCCAGCCAUACCGCGUGGGUGAAGAAGGCCUUCGGGUUGUAAAGCCCUUUUGUUGGGAAAGAAAAGCAGCAGGUUAAUACCCCGCUGUUCUGACGGUACCCAAAGAAUAAGCACCGGCUAACUUCGUG